Molecule: ribosomal RNA, 292 nt
Filed under: uncultured bacterium
Lineage: Bacteria
Description: partial 16S ribosomal RNA
Rfam family: Bacterial small subunit ribosomal RNA
Source: RNAcentral
GUGCCAGCAGCCGCGGUAAGACGAACCGUGCAAACGUUGUUCGGAAUCACUGGGCUUAAAGGGCGCGUAGGCGGGCCAGCAAGUCCGGGGUGAAAUCUUUCGGCUCAACCGGAAAAGUGCCUUGGAUACUGCUGGUCUCGAGCGAGGUAGGGGCAGGCGGAACUUCCGGUGGAGCGGUGAAAUGCGUUGAUAUCGGAAGGAACUCCGGUGGCGAAAGCGGCCUGCUGGACCUCUUCUGACGCUGAGGCGCGAAAGCUAGGGGAGCAAACGGGAUUAGAUACCCCAGUAGUCC